Molecule: long non-coding RNA, 426 nt
Filed under: Nicotiana tabacum (common tobacco)
Lineage: Eukaryota; Viridiplantae; Streptophyta; Magnoliopsida; Solanales; Solanaceae
Description: long non-coding RNA (NTAB_LNC001408)
Source: RNAcentral
UGGGAGAUAUCAUCGAGAAUUCGAGUUCGAGAUAGGGUAUUAGGGUUUGCUUACUGCUUCAGCCUUCGGUGCUUAGGAGAUAUCAUCGAGAACGAGAAGAAGACGAGAAUCGACUGCGACUCUAGGAUAUCAGUUUGCGAGUCGAGUUACGACCAGUCGACAUUCGAGCUCGAGUCUCAUCUCAUCUUCACCGGUUAACUUCACUACUUUUGUAAGUUUUGUAAGUCUCAUCUCAUUCUCAUGAUCUCAUCCCAGUACUCGACUACUCUUUGAGUUUUUUUUUUGAGAUUUAGUUUCUGAUUUUCUGCAUCAAACUAUUUUAGGGUUAUAGGCGGCGAUUUCCAGCUCGAUUCGAUUCCUCACUCCUUACAAAUUCCGGGCAAACGAAGUGUCGAAGACGCUGCUGUCCUGUUCCAGUGUUCCGAG